This is a long non-coding RNA of Gigantopelta aegis, 880 nucleotides long. RefSeq lists it as uncharacterized. The transcript is spliced from 2 exons. NCBI's taxonomy places the organism in Eukaryota, Metazoa, Mollusca, Gastropoda, Neomphalida, Peltospiridae. The record is from RefSeq and is a predicted model, not a curated record.
GUUUCCUAUCUAAAACUAUAAUACAUGUAUGUCAAAUUUACCAAAUGUUUGCCAUCCAAUAGCCGAUGAUUAAUAAAUCAAUAUGUCAUUAAACAGUACAAACUGCACAUACAUGUACAUGUCAAGGUCAUUAGAUGGCUUAUCGAAUUUCGAAUUGGGUCCCAGGGGAGGAGUGAAUUUUAUUACAGUUGUCUGUGUAGAAAUGCAUUUAAACUAGUCUUCACAACUAGUAGAACAUGUCGAAACUAAAUUUAGUGGAGAGAUUGAUUGACCGACCUAUGGUGAAACAAUCAUUAAUUUGGUCAUUCUCUCCCCCCCUCUCCACCAUCCACCCCCCAAUCCUCUUCAGAUCAAUGGUUGUCAUGCAUUCCGGGAGUCUGGUAGGUGGGGUCAACAGUUUCUCGGGUUUCGGGGAGUAUGGUAGGUGGGGUCAACAGUUACUCAGGUUUCCGGGAGUCUGGUAGGUGGGGUCAACAGUUACUCAGGUUGCCGGGAGUCUGGUAGGUGGGGUCAACAGUUUCUCGGGUUUCCGGGAGUAUGGUAGGUGGGGUCAACAGUUACUCAGGUUUCUGGGAGUCUGGUAGGUGGGGUCAACAGUUUCUCGGGUUUCCGGGAGUCUGGUAGGUGGGGUCAGCAGUUACUCAGGUGACCAUUUUGUGCCCUUGUUUUGUCCAUUGUAUUAUUUUGUUUGUUUUGUUUUUCAGUUUGUGUAGGCUACAUCAGUUUGCCAUUGUUCGUUGUACAUGUAUGUUUCUAUAUUACAAAUGUAUUUAUGUCAACUGGAAGAAGCAGCUAUAUCAAACAGCUGAUUUACUGCUAUGCUGUUAAUUAUAAACAAAUCUUUAAAAAGGAAUCAAAAUUAAAAAGAAAAUUCACAAGA